CUGACUUAGCAUUAGAAAAACCCAAAAAUUAGGGGUUUGAAGGGACGACUCUCUCACACUCUUAUCUUCAACAAAAAAUCGGAGGCCUUCCCCCUUGGUAGCUAGCCGUUGCUGAUGGUCUCAAAGAAGAAAUAGAGAGAAAGACUUUUCCCCAUGGAAAACCCCCAGAGUCGUCCAUAAUUCCCCCUUCUCUAACAAAAAACAGACCCGUCUUCAAGAACAAUUCCCCCCUUUAGACAAACGCUGGCCGCCUCCAAAAUUUCCUCUCUAAUCUAGCUCUCCUCUCAAUAUUUAUUCCGCAUUAGAUUCCCUCAUUUUCUUACCCAUUCUCAGAAAACUCUCAAAUUCCAUAUCUGAGGAAAACAACUCCGAAAACUAAAGAAAAAGUUCAAAAAAAGAGAGUCAAAAGUUGUUUUCAAUUUCAAUUGGUUGUUGCAUAUUUUCGGGGUUAAAAGCUUUUUUAAUCGAAGAAAUUACUGUUUGGUACUGGUCGAUUUUGCCAUGGAGUGCUGCCAUUGUUGUUGUUGUCACGUUGAGAUUCAUUCGGCCCUUUUGUCUAGCCUUUAUUUUGCGUUUUUAGUCAAUUCUCGCACAGCUAGGUAUGUAUUCCAACUUGCAUACCCAUAUUUGAUUUGUUAUGAGAUUAUGACCAUAGUAUUAACUUCUGAUGUCUCUUGAUUUGUUAUUGUGGAUCAUACUCCAUGAGCUAAUGUAUGAAACUUUCGUAUGUAUUGACUCCAAAAUCAAUAUGUUAUCAUGCCUUCAUUAGAUUAUUAUAUGCAAUAUAUACUACAUAGAUGUUAGGAAAGGAGAAACUCGUGAUUUUAAUGCUAAUGGCUUUGCAAACUUGUCCAUCACUGUUUUAGGUCAAUCAUUUAGGUUUAAAAUAGUGACAAAGGUGUUUGGUGUAAGUCUAUAUCGAAUAUUACAUGCUUUUGUUCUUUAUAAAAUUGGUGUGAAUAAAAUAUAUAUUUUACAAUUUUAUAACGACUCGGUCAGUCUUUUUAAGAAUUAAUGCCCUGAUACCCUAUUAACUACUUUUUCGUAUUUAUUUCUGCUAUUUUAAUUUGUCGGGAUGUUCGAUUUUGAGUUACGGAGAUUUUUGGGAUACUUAGUCCCGAAAUGAUAGCUUAAGUUUAGAAAUUUGACCGCAGUCAGAAUAGUGUGAAGACAAACUUGGAAUGGAAUUUCGAUGGUUUCGUUUGCUUUGUUGGGUGAUUUCAGGCUUAGGGGCGUGUUCGGAUUGUAUUUUGGAGGUCCGUAAUGUUUAAUGUGACGUGUGUACAAAAUUUCAGGUCAUUUGGACAAGGUUUGAUAGACUUUUUGGUCAAAAGCAUAAAUUUAGAGCUUUGAAGUUCUUAGGCUUGAAUCCAUAGUUGAUUUAUCGUUUCGAUGUUGUUUUAGGUGUUUUAAGGAUUGAUAUAAGUUUGGACAGUGGUAUUAGACUUGUUUGUGUUUUUGGUUGAGGUCUCGAGGGCCUCAGGAUGGUUUGGGAAGGAUACCAAGAGAUCCCGGGGAUACCAAGAGAUCCUCGGCAAUCAUCCAUGUUACAAGCGGUGUUUCCUUGUGUUUGCCUUUAUUUCUUUUUCUGUUAUUGUAUUCUUAUCAUCCUAUAUAGACUCUUACGGUAGAUUCUUAGAUAUACUAUUUAUCUUAACCUGUAAUUUUUAUUAUUAUUAUUUAUCUCAGUAGGGCCCUGACCUUCCUCGUCACUACCCGACCGGGGUUAGGCUUGUAACUUACUGAGUACCGAUAUGGUGUACUCAUGCCCUUUCUGCGCAUGUUUUUCAUAUGUAGAUCCAAGAACCUCUACCCAGGCUCAUCACUCUUGAGGUAGGGAGAUUCUUCGGAGACUUCGAGAUACAUCUUCAACGUCCACAGACCAAGGAGUCUCUAUCUUUAUUCUACCAUGUAGUGUUAGUUUUUCCAUCUCACUGUUAAUGUAGACAUUCUGGAGAUUAGAGCACUUUAAUGUAUUUCUUCUAGCUUGUGUUCUCCGUGAGUUUUCGAGUUUUGGGAUAGUGUUGUAAGAUUUUGAGAUGUUGAGCUGUAUAUGCUGAGUGAAAUCUUAUAUUUCGUUUUCUUUUGGUUAUUCUUGGCUUUAAAUUUAUAUUUUCACAAGUUUUGAUUAUUUUUCGCACUUGUUAGGCUUACCUAGUCGUAGAGACUAGGUGCCGUCAUGAGAGUUCACGGAGGGAAAACUAGGGUCGUGACACAUGACAUGUUUGAGAACUUCAUGCCUAGAUCCUAAAACGCUGUCACACUUCGAAAUAACGAAUCAAGAAUCAAAAUGAAAUGAAGAUAGGUUUAAGGAAAUAAAACAAAGAAUCAGAACAACUAAAGAAAAAUUGGCUCCGGAUUGGAAUGGUCCAUGCAUUAUAACGAGAUGUACUGACAAAAGAGAGCGUUGUACCUGGAAAACAUCAAAGAAAAUAUCCUUGAAACAACGGUCAACUCAGGUGUAGUCAAAAGAUACUAUAUUUGAUUCUCCAUAUAGUAUUAAUGUUCUUCGGUUAAGAUGACGAAGAAUUUCAAUCUCGCUAGCUAAACACCAUUAACCCUUUUCAAAACCCUUUGAGCCGGCCACUCUUAUUUGAUUACCCUCUUUGGAACCUGAAAGUGUUAUUGAAAAAGAAAAAAAAAGAAAAUGAAAAAUGAAAAAAAGGAGGAAGAAUGAAAGGAAAAAUAAAGUGAAAAUAAAACAAAACAUAAGAAAAAACAAAAGAAAAUAAAUAAAAAACAAAUUUCCUUACACUACAUUCAAGACAAGAGGGGUUGCUCUGAUGGUAAGUGUGACGAUCCGACCCGUCGUCUUAUGUGUUAUUGCUCCAUUUUCCCCCUUAUUGUGUUUCUUCAUGUUUCAAUAUCAGUAUUAGAGUUAAUCAGGUGUAAUUGAAUUGGUUUUGGUGGAAAAUAAGGCACAUGGCCUCUUAGAAGGACGCUUAUUUUGGAAAAGUCAACCGGAAGUUGACUUGUGAGUUAGAAGGAUCGGAUGUGAUUUUCGAUGAUUAGGUUAGCUUCACGAGAUGAUUUGUGACUUAGCAUAGCGAUCGAAAUUGAAUUUGGAGGUCCGGUGUAGAAUUAGGUUUGAAUUGGCGAAGUUUGAAUUUUGGCGGANNNNNNNNNNNNNNNNNNNNNNNNNNNNNNNNNNNNNNNNNNNNNNNNNNNNNNNNNNNNNNNNNNNNNNNNNNNNNNNNNNNNNNNNNNNNNNNNNNNNNNNNNNNNNNNNNNNNNNNNNNUAGGUUUGAAUUGGCGAAGUUUGAAAUUUGGCGGAUUCCGGUUGAUAGGUGAGAGUUUGACCCGAGAGUCGGAAUGGAAUUCCAAGAGAGUAGCUUCGUUAGGUGAUUUUCGAUAUGUACGCAAAUUUUCAGGUCAUUCGGACGUGGUUUAGUCGGGUUUUUGAUCGAAUAUGAGUGUGGAAGUUUUACGAAAAAUUAAGCUUGAAUCUGUCGUGAUUUGAUGAUUUUUGUGUUAAAGAACGUGUUUUUGUGAUUGAAACAUGUUUGUAUGAUGUUUUGGAGUAGGUUGGAGGUUUUGGUUGAGGUCCCGGGGGCCUAGGGGUGAUUUCGAGUGUUCAAACGGACUAGUUUUGGCCUUGGGAGAGAUCAGAUUUUUGCUGUCAUAUGUUGCAGACUUUUGUUCAUCGCAUUUGCGUGAGGAUAUACGCGAUCGCGUAGAGUCAUGUGGAGUGGGCCUGUAUUUUGGCUAUCACGUAGGGUUAGUUCGCAUUCGCGAUUAAGGGGAGGAUUGAGUUCCGCGAUUGCAUGGGGUCAGAAGCGUUCGCGUAGUAGAAAUUCCUGGAGCAUCGCGCGACGGAACGUAGUCGCAUUCGCAUAAGGGAAAAUUUGGGGUCAGCAUAAUUUGGUCAUCGCGAACGCGUGGGUCUUGGACCGCGUUCACGUAGGAUAAAAUGGCACCUGGGCAGAAUUGAUUUAAGUCAUUUUUCAUCCGCGAGCCUAUGUUAUUUUCCACCAUUGUUGAGCGAUUUUGGAGCUUGGGAGAGCGAAUUGAAGAGGGAAUCGAAGAGGAAUGAUUGGAGGUAAUAUCUUUGAACUUAAAACUCGUUUUUAUUUUUGAAUUUACCUAGAUAUUUAUGGGAAUAAGCCAAAAAUUGAAGAAAUUAGGGCUUGAGUUUUUUAUAUUUUGAAUUGGAAUUUGAUAGGUAUUUUAUUGGGAAAUCUACCUAGAGAUUCCUGGAAACAAGCCAAAAAUUGAAGAAAUUAGGGCUUGAGUUUUUGAUACUUUGAAUUGGAAUUUGAUAGGUCAUUUGAGCUUGGAUUUGGGAGUUCUUGGUAUGUAUGAACUCGUGGCGAGACGAGGAUUCCAAAAAUGUAUGUUUCGUAAUUUUUCGAAAAGCAGGCCCGGGCUCGGAUUUUUCUAGUUUGGAGAUUCUUGCUAUUUCUCUAUUGUUUUCGAUUGGGUAUUGUCCCAUUGGCAUGUUGUGAUGUAUUCGCUCUAUUUUUGGAUAGAUUCGACGUGCGUGGAGGCCUAUUUGAGGGGCAAAGGCAUCGCGAGCUUGAGAUCUCAUCGGUUCAAGGUGAGUAAUAUUUGGGAAUGAUAUCCCGAGGGUUUGAAACCCCGGAUUUGCACAUCCUAGUGUUGUAUUAUGGUGACUUGCACAUUGGACCGGAGCGUGGGGUAGAGCACCGUUGGGAUUGUGACUUGGUUCGUCCCGAUUGUUAGUUUUACCGCUAGAUUGUAAAUGUUUGUUGUUAUCAUCAUGACUUGGGCUUAUUGCCAUACUUGGGGCUUAUUGCCUAUUGUUUUGAAAACCUCGGUAUAUCAUUGUGAUGCUAUAUGAGGCAAGACACGUACUCCAUGGCUAGUGCGGGGUCAUAUAUGUGGAAAUUGUGGCUCGAUUCAAUCCGAGGGAUGAAUUGUACUAUAUUGGUGGUUGCUUCACACCCUAUAUUGAUGUUAUCUGGGCUUGAUGCCAUGUUUGGGGCCUUGUGCCGACUUGUAGAAUCCUUCAGGGAUCGUUAUCUCAGAAUUUUUAUGAUUUGCAUAUUAUUUGAAUUCAGCCCCGAUAUAAAUACUAUUUUUGCAAACUGACCCAUAUUUAUACAUUUUGAAAACUCAAAUGAUUUUUAAAUAAUAUUCUGGCCGACGAGUACUAUCUCACUAUUUAUGGACUGUAUAUUAUUUUAAAUGUAAACGGUGGUAACUAUGGGCACCAUGUAUUGUAAUGGAAACAGUGGUAACUAUUUGCACCGUGUAUUGUAACAGAAACAGUGGUAACUAUUGGCAGUGUAUGAUAUGGCGCUUGGGCAGUAGAAGCCCCUCCAGAGACUGAACCCCCACAGUGGGUGCGGGUACCCAAAUGGAUCGGGCUGCACGUUCUGCAGUGUUCAUGCAUUACAUUGCAUUCAUGCAUUUACUCCUGUUUGUACUACUUGGAACGACAUUUAGCACUCAUAUAUCAUUGGCAUACAUACUGUUACUUGCCUUGUUGACCAGAUACNNNNNNNNNNNNNNNNNNNNNNNNNNNNNNNNNNNNNNNNNNNNNNNNNNNNNNNNNNNNNNNNNNNNNNNNNNNNNNNNNNNNNNNNNNNNNNNNNNNNNNNNNNNNNNNNNNNNNNNNNNNNNNNNNNNNNNNNNNNNNNNNNNNNNNNNNNCGAGUGCUGAGCCCGAGAGGUUGAUGUUGGAUAUUGUGAGUUGAUAUUGAGUCCGAGGGGCAGGUUUCUGAAUAUUUCCUACUUGUUGAAAGUACCUUUGCAAUUGUUGAAAAACAUAUUUUCAAAAGAGAUUUUGAACAGAACUUGGGAUUUUCUAAAGGGAUUUUCCACAAUAUUUUGUUUUUCUUAAAAAGGGUUGUCCUGUCUCUUAUAGCAGUUUGGUGUGCUCAUGCGUGUCUUCUUAUCGCUGAGAUAUUAUUCUCUUUUAUUACCACUGAGUUGGAAGUACUCACUUUACUCCCUGCACCUUGCANNNNAGUUUGGUGUGCUCAUACGUGUUUUCUUAUCGCUCAGAUAUUAUUCUCUCUUAUUACCACUGAGUUGGAAGUACUCAAUUUACUCCCUGCACCUUGCAUGCAAUUGCAGGUAUUGUUCACCCGACAGCGGGUCAUUAGUAGGAUCGAAGGCCAUAUUCUGGUAAUUGAGCAUGGUGACCGCCAGCAUUCGCGGCACCACAUUCCACCCUUGUAUUCCGGUUUUGCCUUGUAAAUUUAUAUAUUAUUGGUCCAGUAGUAGUAGUGUCUCUAUUCUUUAGAUGCUCGUGACUUGUGA
This 6227-nucleotide long non-coding RNA is filed under the name Nicotiana benthamiana. Its description in RNAcentral is "long non-coding RNA (NBEN_LNC027876)". Lineage: Eukaryota; Viridiplantae; Streptophyta; Magnoliopsida; Solanales; Solanaceae. The record is from RNAcentral.